CCUACGGGAGGCAGCAGUGAGGAAUAUUGCUCAAUGGCCGAGAGGCUGAACCAGCCAAGUCGCGUGAGGGAAGACGGCCCUACGGGUUGUAAACCUCUUUUGUCGGGGAGCAAAGCGAGUCACGUGUGACUCAUUGAGAGUACCCGAAGAAAAAGCAUCGGCUAACGCCGUGCCAGCAGCCGCGGUAAUACGGAGGAUGCGAGCGUUAUCCGGAUGUAUGGGGGUAAAAGGGUGCGCAGGCGGAGGUGCAAGUCAGCGGUCAAAUUGCUGGGCUCACCCCCGUACUGCCGUUGAUACUGCAGCCCUUGAGUGCGCGAGAAGUAUGCGGAAUGCGUGGUGUAGCGGUGAAAUGCGUAGAUAUCACGCAGAACUCCGAUUGCGAAGGCAGCAUACCGGCGCGCAACUGACGCUCAUGCACGAAAGCGUGGGUAUCGAACAGGAUUAGAUACCCUAGUAGUC
RNAcentral lists this ribosomal RNA (459 nucleotides) under uncultured bacterium. RNAcentral's name for it is "partial 16S ribosomal RNA". It matches the Rfam family "Bacterial small subunit ribosomal RNA", at positions 338 to 795 of the family's 1533-position model. The record is from RNAcentral.